Molecule: long non-coding RNA, 2009 nt
Filed under: Citrus maxima (pomelo)
Lineage: Eukaryota; Viridiplantae; Streptophyta; Magnoliopsida; Sapindales; Rutaceae
Description: long non-coding RNA (CMAX_LNC003951)
Source: RNAcentral
ACAACUUGAAUACAUAAAGAAAUCUCUUAUAUCAUGAGGAUAAAUUGAAUGACAUGAGAAAAUAUCAAAUGACACAUAUAGGCCAUAAAAUUAAAAUGAUACCAUGAUAAGGGCCAUUAAAUUAAGAUAAUGUUGCGAUAAAGGUCACAAUGCUACAGUAAUGCUUGCAAAUUAUGCUGCGAUAAAAGGCCAUAAUUAAGAUAAAAAUGAUACUGCAAUAAGGGCUUGUAAAUAUGCCGCGAUAAGGGCCAUGAUUAAGACUAAAAUGAUGCUGUGACAAGGGCUUGCAAAUUAAUGCCAUCAUAAGGGCUGUAAUACUCCCAAGAGCAUGAGGCCGAGUGUUCAUAUUAUGAGACCGAGGACCAAGAGUUUGCGACGAACAUAUGUAUUACGAGAUUAAGGCCCAUGAAUACGAGAUAAGGAUACGUAUUAUGAGAUUGACUCUUGAUAACAAGAGGGUAAGGAUUGUGUAAUUGUUAGAUUUAUUUCUCAUAUUAUGUGGACUGACAUAAAUUAUUUUAAUUGUUUUUUAUAUUUUACCGAAUUAAUACGUGACUAAUGUCAAAUAUUAUGGAACAAUUUUGUCAGACUCAUUUAUUAAGUGAUCAAAUAUUGUGUUAAUGAGUCUGAUUUUGACAUACCCUAUACAGUAGUAUAUUAUGGACAAAUAUAAUCCUUAAUUAUGUUAUUUUAGCUCAUAAUGGGAUGGAUAAUUUUGUACUAACACAUGAGGGGUCCCUGCGCUCAACCACUGUAUUUAAGUAACUUCAACCUAUUGGAAGUUCACUGUUCAAAAAAUCAGUGGCAUGAGUGCAAUGCACCUCUCUCUCUCUCUCUCUUGUCUCCUGUGUGUGUACACAGUAAAUUGCUGAGAGAAGCCGGAUCUUGAGCUAAGGAAAAGGAAGCGGGAAUUCAGAAGGUAGAUCAAAGCUGUAGCAACUCGGUUGAGGCUUCAUAACAAGCUUCCAAGGUUGGAUUCAUGGGAGAUCAUGGUAAAUUUCGAAAUUCCCUAAAGUAUAUGUUUAUUUAGAAAUGCACGAUUAAGGGUAUAAAGGUUGUUUUUGUUUCAGCAGUAAUGAGAUCGAGAGGCAAGAGUAUGGAGCUAAGAUUCGUAUUACGACGAGGCUCAAGAAUAUGAAGUCAAGAUACGUAUAAUAAGAUCGAGGCCCAAGAGCAUGGACCCUCGCCUACCAUGGUAGCUGGACAUCAAGUGGCUGUGAUCAAGGUUAAAGCUUCAGUCCACGUUGAGUCCAGUGGUGGCAGCGGUGUGCGCUAAUGCGCGGCUAGAUGUGACGGAUCGAGAUCCACGACCCGCGCAAAUUUACUGGCUGGUCCCGGCAACUGUGGCGGCUUCUGGGCAGUGGUUGCGGUCGGAUUUUGAAAGGGCUGUCGUGAGGAGCGAAACUCAGGUGAUGGCGGGUCUGAAAUUCCGACAGUUUCGCAAGUCGUGGCGGCGGAUACGCGAAGAUCACGGCUUCGUUUGGCUGUUUUUGGCUGCUUAGGUGUCGGGGUGCUCAAUAAUUUCUCUAAUUCGGUAUCAAAUCUAAAAUCUCGUGUGCAAACUCUAUGUUUAAUUUUUAUUGUAUUUCAAUUUAUAACUCAUUUCAUUUCAAUUUAUAGCUCAUUUCAAAGUUAAACCUAGACAAGUGAGUUCAAAAGAAAAAAGACUCUCGUAUGCUACAAGUUUGUAAUAUAUCUAAUCAACCCAAAAGUAUGGAAAGAAUAAUCGUGCGGCGGAUGCUUUGGUAAAUAUUAGCCUCUCAUGUCCUUCUUUGUGUAGUGAGAUUGUCCUCCAGACUUUAUUCGUAAUUUCAUCUCUCCGAAUGCAAAUGGCUUCCCAAACUAUAGGUUUUUUCUAGUGUUUGCGUUGGCUUAUAUUUGUUUUCCUGCAUGUUUUUUCGUAUUUUCUUACUCUUUUUUCAUGCAUCUCUUGCUACGCGUUUAUUCUUCCUUUGCUUGAUCUAUAUACUAUUUUUAUUUAAAUGAAAUUCUCCAAAAUUUGGUCGAGG